Molecule: long non-coding RNA, 403 nt
Organism: Manis pentadactyla (Chinese pangolin)
Lineage: Eukaryota; Metazoa; Chordata; Mammalia; Pholidota; Manidae
Exons: 3
Source: RefSeq, a predicted model, not a curated record
CAGAGCUGAAGCCUCUGCCUGACGGCGACCCUUACGGGGGCUAAUCUGCCUGAACUGCAUGAAAGUAAACCAGCCGGGACUCCAGGGCAGAGGAUCGCGGUAGUGUUCGGUAUAAUCAUGGAUCAUAGUGUUUUGGGGGCCCCGGGGCCAUCAGACAGAACGAUGUGCAGCCUGGAGAAACGUAUUCGACUUGGAAGUCUGCUCUGUCCCCUGGCCGUCCACCCAGCUGCCUAUCUGUGGGAGAGCUGGAUGACUGCUGCUGCCAUAAACACCCUUGAAAUCUUCAGGGUGACAUGGCUGCUUCUGCCUAAAACUCCUCGCUCCAUGCCUCGUGGUCAGCGCAACUCCUGAAACCUUUAUAUGAAAAAGUCUGCAAGAUCUGUACCCCAAGCGAGCCAUCCAC